UUUUUUUUUUUUUUUUUUGUCUUUUUAGGGCUGCACCGGAGGCAUAUGGAGGUUCCCAGGAAUUCAGAGAGGCUGAGCUCAGGGGACCUGGCUGGCACAGCCCCAUCGCCUCAACGCUGAACUCGGAGGUGAGUUUUAAUGGACACUGGCUGUUGCAGCUGCCAGGAAGGAUGGAGGGGUUUCCGGGACCUACGAGGGGUUAGAAAAGCAAGCGCCAGCCUCUCACUUCUGUACUCAGCUUUCGGGAGAUGCCUGGGGCGGGGUGGGAGCAGGGACAGACACACAGAGGGGACCCGCUGUGACAUCAGACCCUGUCGGAUGGAGGUGGAGCCGCUGGGAGGGAGGACGCUGUUGGGCAGGCUGCUGAGGCAGCUGACCCUGAUAGGGAAAAGGCGCUUAGCUCUGGAGCUGUUUGCCUGGAAGCCAGCAAACACAUCUGCCUUGACACAAAGAAAGAAAACUGCUUUCAAAAUGUCUAUUGCUGAAAUGUGAGAAGUUUAAAGCUCGUCUUGGGCCUGCUCUGCGCCUUAACUCGUUAAGGUUGAGACGGCAGCACUGUUACCCAUUUCCAGGAAACCGGCGACAGAGGGGCGGGCUGAGGAGGACGCAGGAGUGUCUGCCAGAGUCACACCGGCAAGAUGCCACCCCCACCUGGGGCCUCUGCUGGGAAAACAGGUACGUUGACGACGACUACGCCCGAAUGCUAGAAAGUGACACGGCCAUGCAAAGCUUGGUUUCAAAGAGCAGUCAGGGAACAAAAGCAGAAAAGAGUGAACACGACAGGUCCCACAUCUGGGAUCGCAUACCUGCAAAAGGGCUGGGAGGCGUGUCAGCUGUGAUUUGUAGGGACACUGACUUUAUACUUCGUUUGAUUUUCUACAGUGAACACACAUUAAGAACUGAAGGGGGGGACCGCCAUUCAAUAGUAUCCAUUUUUUUAAAAAGUAGGUAAGAAUUAAAUUUCAAGGCCUGAAUUCAAAGCACUUCCAGGUCAGAGCAGUGCAACGAAAGGAGGUGUCACAGCCAUGUCCACCUGCCCCUAGAGCACGGCAGCCGGACUCAGCUCCUGGGGGGGGGACGGUCUGCCCCCUGCCCCGUGGCAGAGGCGGGCGGCUGUGAUCGGGAAAGUGGACUCAUUCAAAGAGCACGGAGUCGGCUCUCGUGCUACCGGCUCACUCAAGAGCUGUGUGGCCUUGGGUAGGUUACUUACUCUUUCUGGGCCCCAGUUUGAUAAUUGGGAAAGGGGGACAUGAGACGGUACUCUCCAGAGUCCCUUUCGUGCUGGAAGCCUAGCACGCGGAGAUCUCAGGGAAGACGGCAGGCCUCCGUGGGACAGAACUAGGCGGGACAGCACGGACUGAGGUGGACCAGGGACCAGAGGGAUACGGACCUCGGAUAUGCAGCCUUUCUGAUGCACCUGUGGUACCGCACAGCUACAAAGCCUCAGCCAGGACGCCUGACGCCAAGGGAGCUCCCACCACCGGGGGCAUGUGGGAGGCAAGAGAGGGACACAGAGGGAUGUAGACGAGGUGGUCUGGCGGGCAGGGACCAUGGGGCUGCGGCCCCUCGGGGCCUCACUGGCAGCCAUACCCCUCCAUCCGGCCUCCUUGGGGAUCCACAGUCCCCAGAAGAGCCUCGCUCUGCUUCUGCUGCCUGGGUGGCUCUGGGGACAGUCCUCCUGCUGGCAUGGGCCUCUUCACACGGGGCUCUGCUCUGUCCCCAGUUUAGAUUCAGUCCCAGAUCCGGGAUUUCCAACAGCCCUGGGAACAGCUCCCUGUCCCCUGUGUGGGAGGCCCGGCCUGUCCCCAUCUCGCUCCUGAAUUUCAGACUCAUGAGCUUCCCCUGCUCCUACUGUUUAAGAGUCCUCAUGGCCAACCUCACUCACUGUCCUGGCAGAAAAAUAAAACCGGCUGAAGGCUUAGAAAUGCCAUGAGGACCAGUGGAGAGCAUUGCCUAAAGUUCUGGAAGACAGGUGGGUGACAAAUUUAAAGCCAAAGUGAAAGGCUGGACCCUCGGAGCCAAUGGGGAGAAGAAGGGGCUCCCUCACCAACCCCUGUCACUUGGUUUGAGCUGGGCGGCCAGGUAAAGGGUGGGUGGGGGAGCCCAUUUGCACGUCCCCUGCCCGCCCCCACUUCAAACCCCAUCUGAACAAGGAAACUGCCAAGGCGCUUCCACACUUACAGGCAUAGUUUUGUCUCCAAAGAAAUAAAUGGUCUUAUAGCCGUCCUUCUCCACGUGCCCCAGGCAGUACCUCUUGUCCCAGCCGUCGGGGAAGACAUCAAAGCUGAUCUGGCCUCCUGCGGGCCGGGGGAGAAACACACAGUCAAUAUGAAAGGGAGGCGAGUGAGAUGUCCCGGCAAAAAGUGUGCCCUUCGCUCUUGUCAGCGACUGGAGUGCUGGGGUUGAUUUUAUUACCCUAGUUCCCAGGGUACAACACUCUGGGGGUAGGUUCUAGAAAUUAAUUCUUGCAUUAUGUUAUUUUUCCCCCCAGCAUUAUUUCACUAAAAAUCUAAAAUCUAAAAAAGAGAGGCAGAGUGGUGACUUGGAGCAGGACCCACACCUGCAUCCACGUGCUGGGCCCAGCGCCUGGAGCUGUCAACAGCCUCCCUCGGCCAUGCUUGCUCUGGGCCCGCACCUGCUUGGUGGAAGGGCCUGUAAGCAGCCUGCAUCCAGCUCAGGGGGCAAGAAAGAAGCCCCUGUGAAAGAGGACUGAGGGCAGCUUUGUUAGGCAACAAAAGUCCUGUCAAAGCUUUGUCAGGAAAACGUUCACCUCCUGGUUCAAGGGCACUGAACAAUCCACCUGUUCAUCUCUUAUACAGGAUCUUUCUGCAAGGCCAGGUUUCCAGCAAGUGCAUGCUUAUUGGAGCUGGUGAAAGGAGAGGGCUUUAAGAAAUGGCCCAUCAGCAAUCCUGGGAAAGAAAAAUGGAGCUGAAGGAAUCAGGCUCCCUGACUUCAGACUGUAUGACAAAGCUACAGGAAUCAAAAUAGUAUGGUAUUGGCACAAACCACAAACAUAGAUCAAUGGAACAAGGUAGAGAGUCCAGAAAUAAACCCACACGACUAUGGUCAAUUAAUCUACAACGAGGGAGGCAAGACUAUACAAUGGAGAAAAGACAGCCUCUUCAAUAAGCAGAGCUGGGAAAACUGGACAGCACAGGUAAAAGAAUGAAGUUAGAACCUUCUCUUAUACCAUGCACACAAUAGACUCAAAUGGAUUAAAAGACCAAAAUGUAAGACCAGGUGCUGUGAAACGCCUAGAGGAAAACACAGGCAGAACCCUUUUUGACAUAAAUCACAACACUCUCUUUUUGGAUUCACCUACUCGGGGAAUGAAAAUGAAAAUAAAAAUAAAUGAAUAGGACCAAACUAAACUCAACAGCUUCUGCACAGCAAAGGAAGCAUAGACAAAACAAAAAGACAACCCACAGAAUGGGAGAAAAUCUUUGCCAGUGAAGUGGCUGACAAGGGGUUAUUAAUUUCGAAAAUACACAAACAGCUCAGGCAGCUCAAUAUAAAAAAAAAGUCUGGUCAAAAAUUGAGAAGACCUAAAUAGACAUUUCUCCAAAGACAGACAACAUGGCCAAACAGCACAUGAAAAGAUGCUCAACACUGCUAAUUUUUAGAGAAACAUAAAUCAAAACUACAACGAGGAGGUCCCGUUGUGGCUCAGUGGUUAAUGAAUCUGACUAAUAUCCAUGAAGAUGCAGGGUCGAUCCCUGACCUUGCUCAGUGGGUUAAGGAUCUGGUGUUACCAUGAGCUGUGGUGUAGGUCGCAGACGCAGCUGGGAUCUAGCAUUGCUCUGGCUGUGGUAAAGGCCGGUGGCUGCAGCUCCGACUGGACCCCUAGCUUGGGAAUCUCCAUAUGCUGCAGGUGCGGCCCUAAAAAAAAAACCAAACAAAAAAACCCCAAUGAGGUACCACUUCACACUAGUCAGAAUGGCCAUCAUCAAAGAGUCUACAAAUAAAUGCUGGAGUCGGUGUGGAGAGAAGGGAACCC
RNAcentral lists this long non-coding RNA (3997 nucleotides) under Sus scrofa (pig). RNAcentral describes it as "lncRNA (ENSSSCG00005020595.1)". The record is from RNAcentral. Lineage: Eukaryota; Metazoa; Chordata; Mammalia; Artiodactyla; Suidae.